This 77-nucleotide transfer RNA is filed under the name Clostridia bacterium. RNAcentral describes it as "tRNA-Arg". It matches the Rfam family "tRNA". From Rfam's summary of the family: Transfer RNA (tRNA) molecules are approximately 80 nucleotides in length. The record is from RNAcentral. Lineage: Bacteria; Bacillati; Bacillota; Clostridia.
GCGCCCGUAGCUCAGUUGGAUAGAGCGCCAGACUCCGACUCUGAAGGCCGCCGAUUUGAACUCAGUCGGGCGUACCA